UCUUUCCUCUAAGGCUGGAUUCAAUCCGAGUCCGACCAAUAAAUCCUCUAUCCUAACCUUCCACAUUGAGAAGCUUUUCUUUCCAUCAAACUUUUCAAACUCCACCUUCAGCUCACUGCUUAUAGUCAGCACCAACCACAAUCAUAACAAAAGUAGAUCAGAUUUGAGAAGGUAUACCUUGGUAGAGGCUGUACAAAUUUUUCUUUCCUUAGAGAACUUCCUUCC
RNAcentral lists this long non-coding RNA (225 nucleotides) under Elaeis guineensis (African oil palm). RNAcentral's name for it is "long non-coding RNA (EGUI_LNC030970)". Lineage: Eukaryota; Viridiplantae; Streptophyta; Magnoliopsida; Arecales; Arecaceae. The record is from RNAcentral.